Molecule: non-coding RNA, 78 nt
Organism: Earliella scabrosa
Lineage: Eukaryota; Fungi; Basidiomycota; Agaricomycetes; Polyporales; Polyporaceae
Source: the annotation of a GenBank genome assembly
GGCGCUAUAGUGUAGUGGUUAUCACUUGGGAUUCUGAGUAGUGUUCCCAAAACCCAGGUUCGAGCCCUGGUAGCGCCU